RNAcentral lists this ribosomal RNA (468 nucleotides) under uncultured bacterium. Its description in RNAcentral is "partial 16S ribosomal RNA". It matches the Rfam family "Bacterial small subunit ribosomal RNA", at positions 28 to 507 of the family's 1533-position model. The record is from RNAcentral.
GACGAACGCUGGCGGCGUGCUUAACACAUGCAAGUCGAACGGAAAGGCCCUGCUUUUGUGGGGUGCUCGAGUGGCGAACGGGUGAGUAACACGUGAGUAACCUGCCCUUGACUGUGGGAUAACUUCAGGAAACUGGGGCUAAUACCGGAUAGGAGCUCCUGCUGCAUGGUGGGGGUUGGAAAGUUUCGGCGGUUGGGGAUGGACUCGCGGCUUAUCAGCUUGUUGGUGGGGUAGUGGCUUACCAAGGCUUUGACGGGUAGCCGGCCUGAGAGGGUGACCGGCCACAUUGGGCCUGAGAUACGGCCCAGACUCCUACGGGAGGCAGCAGUGGGGAAUAUUGCACAAUGGGCGGAAGCCUGAUGCAGCAACGCCGCGUUCGGGAUGACGGCCUUCGGGUUGUAAACCGCUUUCGCCUGUGACGAAGCGUGAGUGACGGUAAUGGGUAAAGAAGCACCGGCUAACUACGUG